GAUGAACGCUAGCGGCAGGCUUAAUACAUGCAAGUCGAGGGGCAGCAGCUUUGUAGCAAUACAGGGGCUGGCGACCGGCAAACGGGUGCGGAACACGUACGCAACCUUCCUUUAACUGGAAGAUAGCCCACCGAAAGGUGGAUUAAUACUCCAUAACAUAUUGAAGAGGCAUCUCUUUGAUAUUAAAGCUCCGGCGGCUAAAGAUGGGCGUGCGUCUGAUUAGGUAGUUGGCGGGGUAACGGCCCACCAAGCCUUCGAUCAGUAGCUGAUGUGAGAGCAUGAUCAGCCACACGGGCACUGAGACACGGGCCCGACUCCUACGGGAGCAGCAGUAAGGAUAUUGGUCAAUGGACGCAAGUCUGAACCAGCCAUGCCGCGUGGAGGAUGAAGGCCCUCUGGGUUGUAAACUUCUUUUACUUUGGGACGAAACCCCUGUUUCUACGGGGACUGACGGUACCAGAGGAAUAAGCACCGGCUAACUCCGUGCCAGCAGCCGCGGUAAU
This 503-nucleotide ribosomal RNA is filed under the name uncultured bacterium. RNAcentral describes it as "bacterial SSU rRNA". It matches the Rfam family "Bacterial small subunit ribosomal RNA", at positions 28 to 524 of the family's 1533-position model. The record is from RNAcentral.